GAACGCUGGCGGCGCGCCUAAUACAUGCAAGUCGAGCGAGAAGACGUAGCAAUACGUUUGUAAAGCGGCGAACGGGUGAGGAAUACAUGGGUAACCUACCCUCGAGUGGGGAAUAACUAGCCGAAAGGUUAGCUAAUACCGCAUACGACUCUUGGUCUGCGGAUCAAGAGAGAAAGCGAUACCGUGGGUAUCGCGCUCCUGGAUGGGCUCAUGUCCUAUCAGCUUGUUGGUGAGGUAACGGCUCACCAAGGCUUCGACGGGUAGCUGGUCUGAGAGGACGAUCAGCCACACUGGCACUGCGACACGGGCCAGACUCCUACGGGAGGCAGCAGUAAGGAAUAUUGCGCAAUGGGCGACAGCCUGACGCAGCGACGCCGCGUGGGGGAUGAAGGUCUUCGGAUUGUAAACCCCUUUCGGCAGGGAAGAUGGAACGGGUAACCGUUCGGACGGUACCUGCAGAAGCAGCCACGGCUAACUUCGUGCCAGCAGCCGCGGUAAUAC
Molecule: ribosomal RNA, 501 nt
Filed under: uncultured bacterium
Lineage: Bacteria
Description: bacterial SSU rRNA
Rfam family: Bacterial small subunit ribosomal RNA
Source: RNAcentral